Molecule: long non-coding RNA, 691 nt
Organism: Cucumis melo (muskmelon)
Lineage: Eukaryota; Viridiplantae; Streptophyta; Magnoliopsida; Cucurbitales; Cucurbitaceae
Exons: 2
Source: RefSeq, a predicted model, not a curated record
UUGAUAAAAAUUAGUUUAGGGUUUUUUUUUAUGAAAAUUAGUUUAGGUGUGUGCUAGAUCAUGCUGACCAAAAAAUACUAUGAUCGGAUUAACUCUGUUUUACAUUGUUCAAAUAAAAAAUGUGAGUAGGGUCUGCAGUUUCUCUUCUUUAUUCUGUUGCAAUUGCUAUAAAAUUGGCUUGAUUUUCUAUUUCGUUGUUGAUGAUUUUAUUGUUUGCAUGGAUGUUGUUUCUGGUUGAGAUUUAUGUGGUUAAUGUUGCAGAAAUAGGAAAGGAAGAUGAAGUAUCGGGAAAUAUUGGUUCUGGUUCUAUGUUUGCUUGGGUUUGUUCUUGGAGCGGUGUUUGAUACAGUAGUCGGGGAAAUUGCAAUUAUUACGAACUGAACCAAGUUCCACAACAGGGCUGAUCAUAGUUGCGCCAGUUGAAGAUUCAAAAUCCACGUGUUGGGUGUUCUUGAUAUUGCUUGUAGAAUGAUUGAAGUCAUAUCAAACUGAAAGCUAAGCGAUUGUGUAGAAAGUCAGACGAUCGUUGAAGGUUUGAGAAGGCGUUUAAGAUUUCUUAUUUAAGUUUUGUAUUAGGAUCUUGUUUCAUGUACCGUUGUAGAAUAUAUAAACAUAAUAUAAGAUUCCAUUUUGUGUAUACAAAUGUAAAAGACAAAUAUUAUAGUUUCUAAAAUAAUAUUAAUUUUAUUGA